CACCAAUCUAAGUGAUUUUGACUGCUGUGUGAUCGGUAUGUAAACCGGUAACAGAAUUUAGUAGGUUUAGCUUCCUACAUAAAGGAGAUAUAUCG
This is a long non-coding RNA of Rhagoletis zephyria (snowberry fruit fly), 95 nucleotides long. RefSeq lists it as uncharacterized. The record is from RefSeq and is a predicted model, not a curated record. NCBI's taxonomy places the organism in Eukaryota, Metazoa, Arthropoda, Insecta, Diptera, Tephritidae.